RNAcentral lists this non-coding RNA (31 nucleotides) under Mus musculus (house mouse). The record is from RNAcentral. Lineage: Eukaryota; Metazoa; Chordata; Mammalia; Rodentia; Muridae.
UGAGGUUCAAGGGAUUAAAGAAUAUUAUUGU